GUGGGGAAUAUUGCACAAUGGGCGAAAGCCUGAUGCAGCAACGCCGCGUGAGGGACGACGGCCUUCGGGUUGUAAACCUCUUUUAGCAGGAAAGAAGCGAAAGUGACGGUACCUGCAGAAAAAGCGCCGGCUAACUACGUGCCAGCAGCCGCGGUAAUACGUAGGGCGCAAGCGUUAUCCGGAAUUAUUGGGCGUAAAGAGCUCGUAGGCGGUCUGUCGCGUCUGCUGUGAAAACCCGAGGCUCAACCUCGGGCCUGCAGUGGGUACGGGCAGACUAGAGUGCGGUAGGGGAGAUUGGAAUUCCUGGUGUAGCGGUGGAAUGCGCAGAUAUCAGGAGGAACACCGAUGGCGAAGGCAGAUCUCUGGGCCGUAACUGACGCUGAGGAGCGAAAGGGUGGGGAGCAAACAGGCUUAGAUACCCCAGUAGUCC
This 430-nucleotide ribosomal RNA is filed under the name uncultured bacterium. RNAcentral's name for it is "partial 16S ribosomal RNA". It matches the Rfam family "Bacterial small subunit ribosomal RNA", at positions 354 to 796 of the family's 1533-position model. The record is from RNAcentral.